CAACCGGAUCUUAAAAGCCUUAGUAUUGAAUCUUUGUUAGAAGAUACUAAGACAAAGACUCAUACGGACUUCGGCUACACCUUCAAAGCUUUGAGAAGCAAGAAGAAGCUUGCUUAGUGUUUUGGAGUCAAAUAUGACUUGAUGUAAUGUGUAUGAGUGAGUAUAACAACUAGAAUCGCAACCAGAUCUGAAAAGCCUAAGUAUUGUAUCCUUCUUA
This 217-nucleotide small RNA is filed under the name Arabidopsis thaliana (thale cress). Its description in RNAcentral is "ATSL271530". The record is from RNAcentral. Lineage: Eukaryota; Viridiplantae; Streptophyta; Magnoliopsida; Brassicales; Brassicaceae.